RNAcentral lists this ribosomal RNA (252 nucleotides) under uncultured bacterium. Its description in RNAcentral is "partial 16S ribosomal RNA". It matches the Rfam family "Bacterial small subunit ribosomal RNA", at positions 524 to 775 of the family's 1533-position model. The record is from RNAcentral.
GACAGAGGUGCCGAGCGUUAGGCGGAAUCACUGGGCUUAAAGCGUGUGUAGGCGGGUCGUUAAGUGCCUUGUGAAAUCCCAACCGCUCACCGGUGGAACUGCUUGGCAUACUGGCGAUCUUGAGCCACUUAGGGGCAACCGGAACAAACGGUGGAGCGGUGAAAUGCGUAGAUAUCUGGAGGAACACCGGUGGCGAAAGCGAUUCCUGGUCCGUUCCUGACGCUGAGGCUCGAAAGCUCGGGGAGCAACAGG